AAGUCGUAACAAGGUCUCCGUAGGUGAACCUGCGGAGGGAUCAUUAACACAAGUGACACUGCAAUACUGUAUUACUGUAUUGUAUUGCAGUGCUUACUAUCAACACCCAUUGCACGUGAACUACUAUGACCCUUUUUUCUCUACUCAGCAUGCGCAAUGCUGUGUAGUGUUUUCAUUUUUGAAAUGAAACCCUUUCCAAUGUUUUUACACUUGUAACUGUUUCCCAGUGGUGUGUGUCGGUUGUGUGCGGUUCGCACUCGACUGUCUCGGCCAUUGUUAACUAUUACGAACUAUUAUUGAGUACAACUCUUAGCAACGGAUAUCUUGGUUCUC
This 333-nucleotide unclassified non-coding RNA is filed under the name fungal sp. RNAcentral's name for it is "partial internal transcribed spacer region". The stretch from base 1 to 46 matches the Rfam family "Eukaryotic small subunit ribosomal RNA", at positions 1786 to 1831 of the family's 1831-position model. Lineage: Eukaryota; Fungi. The record is from RNAcentral.